GAUGAACGCUGGCGGCGUGCCUAAUACAUGCAAGUCGAGCGAACCACUUCGGUGGUGAGCGGCGAACGGGUGAGUAACACGUAGGUGAUCUGCCCAUCAGACGGGGACAACGAUUGGAAACGAUCGCUAAUACCGGAUAGGACGAAAGUUUAAAGGUGCUUCUGGCACCGCUGAUGGAUGAGCCUGCGGCGCAUUAGCUAGUUGGCAGGGUAAAGGCCUACCAAGGCGACGAUGCGUAGCCGACCUGAGAGGGUGAACGGCCACACUGGGACUGAGACACGGCCCAGACUCCUACGGGAGGCAGCAGUAGGGAAUCUUCGGCAAUGGGCGAAAGCCUGACCGAGCAACGCCGCGUGAAUGAUGAAGGCCUUCGGGUUGUAAAAUUCUGUUAUAAGGGAAGAACGACUUUAGUAGGAAAUGGCUAGAGUGUGACGGUACCUUAUGAGAAAGCCACAGCUAACUACGUGCCAGCCGCCGCAGUAA
This 483-nucleotide ribosomal RNA is filed under the name uncultured bacterium. RNAcentral describes it as "partial 16S ribosomal RNA". It matches the Rfam family "Bacterial small subunit ribosomal RNA", at positions 28 to 523 of the family's 1533-position model. The record is from RNAcentral.